RNAcentral lists this transfer RNA (64 nucleotides) under Calanus hyperboreus. RNAcentral describes it as "tRNA-Leu". The record is from RNAcentral. Lineage: Eukaryota; Metazoa; Arthropoda; Copepoda; Calanoida; Calanidae.
UUUAAGGUGGCAGAUAAAUGUGCUAAUCUUAAAAGUUAGAAAUAAAAUAUAAUUUUCCUUAAAA